RNAcentral lists this ribosomal RNA (251 nucleotides) under uncultured bacterium. Its description in RNAcentral is "partial 16S ribosomal RNA". It matches the Rfam family "Bacterial small subunit ribosomal RNA", at positions 524 to 776 of the family's 1533-position model. The record is from RNAcentral.
UACGUAGGGCGCAAGCGUUAUCCGGAAUUAUUGGGCGUAAAGAGCUCGUAGGCGGUUUGUCGCGUCUGCCGUGAAAGUCCGGGGCUCAACUCCGGAUCUGCGGUGGGUACGGGCAGACUAGAGUGAUGUAGGGGAGACUGGAAUUCCUGGUGUAGCGGUGAAAUGCGCAGAUAUCAGGAGGAACACCGAUGGCGAAGGCAGGUCUCUGGGCAUAACUGACGCUGAGGAGCGAAAGCAUGGGAGCGAACAGG